Molecule: ribosomal RNA, 241 nt
Filed under: uncultured bacterium
Lineage: Bacteria
Description: partial 16S ribosomal RNA
Rfam family: Bacterial small subunit ribosomal RNA
Source: RNAcentral
AAGCGUUGUCCGGAAUCAUUGGGCGGAGAGCGCGUGUAGGCGGCCAGAUAAGUCCGCUGUGAAAUCUCGAGGCUCAACUUCGAGCUGUCGGUGGAAACUGUCUGGCUAGAGUCCGGAAGAGGAGAAUGGAAUUCCUGGUGUAGCGGUGAAAUGCGCAGAUAUCAGGAAGAACACCCGUGGCGAAGGCGGUUCUCUGGGACGGUACUGACGCUGAGACGCGAAAGCGUGGGGAGCGAACAGG